This 565-nucleotide ribosomal RNA is filed under the name uncultured archaeon. RNAcentral describes it as "bacterial SSU rRNA". It matches the Rfam family "Archaeal small subunit ribosomal RNA", at positions 328 to 897 of the family's 1478-position model. The record is from RNAcentral.
GGGUGCAGCAGGCGCGAAAACUUCACAAUGGGGGCAACCCCGAUGAGGGAAUUCCAAGUGCUAGCACUUUUUGUGUUAGCUGUUCUCCUGUCUAAAAAACAGGAGAAGUAAGGGCCGGGUAAGACGGGUGCCAGCCGCCGCGGUAAUACCCGCGGCCCGAGUGGUGGUCGAUAUUAUUGAGCCUAAAACGUUCGUAGCCGGUCUUGUAAAUCCUUGGGUAAAUCGGCCAGCUUAACUGUCCGAAGUCCGGGGAGACUGCAAGACUUGGGAUCGGGAGAGGUCAGAGGUACUUCUGGGGUAGGGGUAAAAUCCUGUAAUCCUAGAAGGACCACCGGUGGCGAAGGCGUCUGACUAGAACGAAUUCGACGGUGAGGAACGAAGCCCUGGGGCGCAAACGGGAUUAGAUACCCCGGUAGUCCAGGGUGUAAACGCUGCGGGCUUGGUGUUGGGGGUCCUUAGUGGGCGCCCAGUGCCGGAGAGAAGUUGUUAAGCCUGCUGCUUGGGGAGUACGUCCGCAAGGAUGAAACUUAAAGGAAUUGGCGGGGGAGCACAAGGGCGAUUCGCG